CUUCAGCAAAACUCCAGCUCCUGUACGAGAAGGAAACGGAGAACCAUUACGCAAAAAUCUCAACGAUUUUGUUGGCGUUUGCCACGGAAUUUUCGACCCAUAAAUACCCCUAAACCUCCUCCGUUUUUGCUCCCCGAAAUCCCCAAUUUUUGCGCCGCCAGGCUGCGCAAAUUUCUCGCCGGAGUUCCAAUCUGCCGCCGCCAUUGGAGCUCAGAACCGGAGGCCACUAGAACGUCGAGGAAACAUCGCCGGAGUCCCGACACCGUCCGCCGCCUUCAGCCGCCCAUAACCACCAACUGGAGCCUGGCUGAACUACACCGAGAUCACGAACGUGACGGAAAUCGUCUGCGGCUUCACGUCCACGCCUUGGCUGUGUCGGAGAAUCACUAGAACGCCUUCGCCAUUCACGUCUAAUUCACCGUCUUUCGUGCAAUAGAUUGCCCGGAUUGCAACGAGUGCGAUUGCGACGACUGUCUGAACACCGACCAAGG
This is a long non-coding RNA of Lolium rigidum, 491 nucleotides long. RefSeq lists it as uncharacterized. The record is from RefSeq and is a predicted model, not a curated record. The transcript has 3 exons. NCBI's taxonomy places the organism in Eukaryota, Viridiplantae, Streptophyta, Magnoliopsida, Poales, Poaceae.